RNAcentral lists this RNase P RNA (404 nucleotides) under Tannerella sp. RNAcentral describes it as "RNase P RNA component class A". It matches the Rfam family "Bacterial RNase P class A". Rfam says of the family: Ribonuclease P (RNase P) is a ubiquitous endoribonuclease, found in archaea, bacteria and eukarya as well as chloroplasts and mitochondria. Its best characterised activity is the generation of mature 5'-ends of tRNAs by cleaving the 5'-leader elements of precursor-tRNAs. Lineage: Bacteria; Pseudomonadati; Bacteroidota; Bacteroidia; Bacteroidales; Tannerellaceae. The record is from RNAcentral.
GCAGCGUACCGGUCUGUCGCUCGUGCGAAACAAAACGGGAGGAAAGUCCGGGCAACACAGAGCGCCACGCUUCUUAACGGGAAGCUGUUCGCAAGGGCAGAGUAGCGUAACAGAAAAUAACCGCAAGCCCCUCUUUCUCUCCACUUUAUGGGGAAGGGAUGGGGGGAGGUUGUAAGGGUGAAAAGGUGAGGUAAGAGCUUACCGCUUCCGGCGGAAUCCGGAGGGUCGGUACGCCUCGUGGGUUGCAAGGUCAAAUAAACCGACGCAUUUAGAGUUGCUCGCUCAAUGUCGGAGGGUGGACUGCUAACGGAAUUUGUCAGCAAUGACAAAUCAAGAUAAAUGACAGACGCAUCAUUGCCCAUAAGCGUGAUGAACAGAACCCGGCUUACAGGUAGGCUGCUUUU